AGACACGGGAGCAAUGUGCCUACAACACCCGCCAUGCCAUUGAUCUCAGGGCUCAUUCGGUUGAUACAGCUGACUAGGCGUUCUCCCUUCCUCCCUCACCCCUCCCUGUGCCUCUCCUGAGGAGCUCAGUGGAAGAGGACAACCUUUCCCGUAGAGGAGGACCUGUCUUCAGUCAAGGGCAUUCAAACAGCGCUUUCCUCCACUAGACCCUCCACACAAGCUCAAGGUGCACUACUAUUUCUUGGGUGCACUUAGAAGUUUUUUUUUUAACUUACAGAAUAUUCUAUUUUUCUGCAAUGAAUACCUCAGAAAACAUA
Molecule: unclassified non-coding RNA, 317 nt
Organism: Mesocricetus auratus (golden hamster)
Lineage: Eukaryota; Metazoa; Chordata; Mammalia; Rodentia; Cricetidae
Gene: 7SK
Rfam family: 7SK RNA
About the family: 7SK was discovered as an abundant small nuclear RNA in the mid-70s but a possible function has only recently been suggested. Two independent studies have found that 7SK RNA binds the CDK9/cyclin T complex (known as elongation factor P-TEFb).
Source: Ensembl